RNAcentral lists this ribosomal RNA (253 nucleotides) under uncultured bacterium. RNAcentral's name for it is "partial 16S ribosomal RNA". It matches the Rfam family "Bacterial small subunit ribosomal RNA", at positions 524 to 776 of the family's 1533-position model. The record is from RNAcentral.
GACAGAGGCCCCAAGCGUUAGGCGGAAUCACUGGGCUUAAAGCGCGUGUAGGCGGAUCGUUAAGUGCCUUGUGAAAUCCUGCGGCUCAACCGCAGAACUGCUGGGCAUACUGGCGAUCUUGGGCCACUCAGGGGUCACUGGAACAAGCGGUGGAGCGGUGAAAUGCGUUGAUAUCCUAAGGAACACCGGUGGCGAAGGCGGCUUACUGGGUCUUAACUGACGCUGAGGCACGAAAGCCAGGGUAGCAAACGGG